GAUGAACGCUGGCGGCGCGCCUAACACAUGCAAGUCGAGCGGGAAGCUUUUUAAGGAUUCUUCGGAUGAAUUAAAAGUGGAGAGCGGCGGACGGGUGAGUAACGCGUGAGAAACCUGCCCUAUACAGGGGGAUAGCCAUUGGAAACGAUGAUUAAUACCCCAUAUGACCACAGUAUCGCAUGAUACAGCGGUGAAAACUCCGGUGGUAUAGGAUGGUCUCGCGUCUGAUUAGCUAGUUGGUGGGGUAACGGCCUACCAAGGCGACGAUCAGUAGCCGGCCUGAGAGGGUGAUCGGCCACACUGGAACUGAGACACGGUCCAGACUCCUACGGGAGGCAGCAGUGGGGAAUAUUGCACAAUGGGCGAAAGCCUGAUGCAGCAACGCCGCGUGAGCGAUGAAGGCCUUUCGGGUCGUAAAAGCUCUGUCCUAGGAAAAUGACGGUACUAGGAGGAAGCCCCGGCUAAC
Molecule: ribosomal RNA, 466 nt
Filed under: uncultured bacterium
Lineage: Bacteria
Description: bacterial SSU rRNA
Rfam family: Bacterial small subunit ribosomal RNA
Source: RNAcentral